AGUAGACAGAUGAGCAUUUGUACUGAUCAAUAUAGUGAUGCAUCUAUCUCGAGUAGCUUUAUCUAAAUCCCUUUAUGAGAGUAACAUGCAGCCAUAUAUGUGGACAAGGCUAAUGGAGCCUCUUGUGGCAUUCCUGUAGCUUAAGUCAAAUAUCAUGAUCAAGUCGAACGGAAGCCAUUAGCCCGAAUUCGUUGAAUGUUGUCAUUAUUCUUUAAUGGAAGUCACUUAGGAAUCUUCAGUCAAGACAAAAACUAAUAAAACGAAAGGAAAAGCAAAUCACAGAAAUUAAUUGCGCUUUUCUUUUGUGGCGUCUUGUUUCCUCAAACUUGUGCCAUGACGCUAAUUGCGCUGAUCAACAUACAGGAAAAUAGUCCUCAGAAUAAGAGAAUAACUGAAAAACAGCUUUUUUUUUGAGAUUCGAUUUUUAACCCCACUAAAUCUUCUCAAAAAAGAAUUCAUAACACUAAUAUUCUAAUAUUUUAUAACACUUCUUCGGCUAACAAACAUUACUUUUUUGUAAGAUUCCUGAACUUCGUGUCGCAUAAACUGAGUAUUUAUUUCCCUGUCAAAGCUUCAAGUUUUGGUGACAGAAGCAAUCGAUUUCUAGUUUUCAUUGAAUCGACGGAAAAAGAUUUUCUUUGACAAUUUAGAUUGAACUUGAUGUCAUUAGUGCUAGCCAUGACUCAAAUGUUUUGUGAUAUACCCUCUUAUUAACGUACGGUUCCCUGUUGAUAUAUCUUUUACAGAAAAAAUUGUAAGUCGAGAUCUGAAAUAGUCGAUCUGAGACUAAACGCAAUUUUUGUGCUUUGAUGUUAAUUUUCUGGCUGAAAUAUGAAAAAGCACAUUUCUAACGUAAAGUGGCUAUUAAUCCUACAGGAUUUCUUCAUGGAUUUAAAGAAUUUGCUCAAAUCAAAAUAAAGUAGGGUUACCUUCCCUACGUUAAAAAAAAAGACAAUUAACAGGGUUAAAACGACUAUUAAGAGGGUUAAAAUAUGCAAACAGACAAUUUAGUUUGAAAUAAAUGGGGCAACAGCUGUUCAAAUGAGUCUGUAGUCAAGAAAUACACACAGAAGCUGGUCCUUCUACUGUGAUCGCCUUCACUUCCUUCGCGAGGACGGAAGUAGUGUUAGAAUGGUAAUAUAAACUAGCAUAGUACAGAAAAAUAGUCCGAAAUAAACAGAUUUCACUAAUUCCAUCUAUCUAGCUAAGAAAUUCAGACCGAGAAAGGUGUGGCUUGCAUGAGGAGACGAAACUCGACACGAGUUGCAAGCAGACAAUUUAGUUUUAAAUAAAUGAGGCAACAGCUGUACAAAUGAGUCUGUAGUCAAGAAAGACACACCGAAGCUGGUCCUUCUACUUCGUUCACGAGGACGGAAGUAGUGUUAGAAUGAUAAUAUAAACUAGCAUAGUACAGAAAAAUAGUCCGAAAUAAACAGAUUUCACAGUU
Actinia tenebrosa (Australian red waratah sea anemone) is the source of this 1447-nucleotide long non-coding RNA. RefSeq lists it as uncharacterized. The record is from RefSeq and is a predicted model, not a curated record. NCBI's taxonomy places the organism in Eukaryota, Metazoa, Cnidaria, Anthozoa, Actiniaria, Actiniidae.